CUUUCUUGACCUUUCUGGAGCCUUCUUCUUGCAUUGAAAACUAAGAAAAGUAAAAGAGAAGCAUGCAAGAAAGGUUACUCACCAAACUUAGCUACGCAGGGCUUGUUGACAGUCUGCUGGGGGAGAAAAAGAGAAACAGGUCAGGAUAAUAGCAGUGUCACUGCUUUGUUGAUUGAUUUAUUUAGAGCUUCAGAUUCCUGAAGCAAUAGACUCUUCUGUAGCUAAGAAUCCCUGCCUCCUAUCACUUCCAUAUAUCUUCAUUACCUAGCUUCCCUGGGUCUUUUAGGCAAAAAAUGGGAUUUAUUCCAUCCACCUAACCUCCACCCACAAGAGAACUGUUCAUUCCUGGACUCUUCUGCUACUGGGCUAUAGUGGUUUUCUAUCAACAGUGGUUUCCACACCCCAGUGACUGCACAAGGUGAUAUAUUCAAACGUGGGAAGAAAAUAAUGGAACUUCUAUUUAUGUUUAUUUUAAGUAAUAAAAAAUCAAGCUAUACAAAUAUUUACAAUUCAAAUUGAUACAGCUACCCUCACUCAAUAUUCAGACAAUUCUGUGUCAUAAACAGUAACUGAGAUGCCCUUAGGAGACCUCACUUUUAAUCUGUUGCAACAUAGCACAGUUUAUAUGCUACAGGAUGCCAUCAGUGUGGUUAAUUUUAUAAAUAUAAGUAUUUAAAUGGUAAAUGCUCUAAAACACUUUGUAAGAGGAUAGAAGGUAUCCACUUUUUUUUUGUACCACACAGAGUUCAUUGAUUUUCUUGUGGCUAAGUUCUUAAGAGAUGCUGCACAUUUUUCUUUUAGAAUGUUCUCUGCGUGCCAUGCUGAGAAUAAAUUAAAGGGAGGCAAGAGCAAAAGCAAGACACCAGCUAAAAACAAUUGCAGUAAUCCAGGCAAGAGAGCAUGGUGCCCCUAACCAAGGUGCUAGCAGUGGAGAUGGAAAUAAGUGAUUGGAAAAUAGAGCCAAAAAGAGUUUCUAACAUGGAUAAGAGAAAGAAAUGGGUGACAAAAUGAGAAGAGACAAACAUGACUCCAAGAUUUUUUGGCCUGAGAAAUUGCAAGGAUAAAGUUGCUAUUUCCUGAAAUGGGCAAGAUUUAAAAGGUACUGUUGUUGCUGUUAGGUGCCGUUGAGUCGAUUCCGAUUCAUAGCAAUCCAAUGUGACAGAGUAGAAUUGCCCCCUGGGGUUUCCUAGGCUAUAAUCUUUAUGGAAGCCGUUCACCAGGUCUUUUUUCCAUGGAGCCACUUUGUGAAAGGAGUGGAUUGGGGGGGAAAGAAGCAAUCAUGAGCUUUUUUUUUGGACAUGUUAAGUUUGUAAUGUUUAUUGGCUAUCUAGGUAGAGGUGUCAAGUAAGCAGUUGGAUGAAUGAGGCUGGAAUUUAGGGAGUUCUGAAGAUAUACGGUUAGUAAUCUUCAGCUUAUAUGAGAUGCUUUAAUACAUGAGACUCACAAGAUCAUCAAGUCAGUGAGUGUAGAUAGACAGAAGUGGCAGUACUGGGACACUGAAAUGUUUAGAGGUUGGGGAGAUGAAGAGGAACCAGAAAAGGAAACUGAGAAGGAACAGCCAGUGAGUCAGAAAGGAAACCAGGAGAGUGUGGUAUUGGAAAUCCAAGAGAAGAAAGUAUUUAGGGAAGAGGAUUGACCAGCUAUGUCAAAUGCUGCUGAUGGGUCAAGUAAAAUAAGGAAAGAGAAUUAACUGAUAGAUUUGGUAACAUGAUAGUCAUUGGGACUAUUGACAAGACUAGUUUCUGAGUGUGAUGAGGACAGAAGCUUAAAGGGAAUGGGUUUAAGGGUAAAUGGGAAAGAGAAAUUGGAGGAGUUUUAUUGCAAUGAAAAGCAGAAAAAUUGAGUGGAGCCUGGAUGAGGAUGUCAAGUCAAAAAUAUUUUGUGGUUUUGUGUGUGUUUGUUUUAACAUGAGAGAAAUGGUGACAUGUUUAUAUGUUGAUGGGAAUACUCCAGUAAGUGGAAGGGGAGGUUGUAAGAGAGUGUGUAAGAGAUAGAAGAGAAAUAUUGGAGCUUUGGGUAGGCAAGAGGGGUUAGAAUCUAGUGUAUAGGUGGUCUUGGAUAAGCACAUGAACAACUCACCCAUAGUAACAAGAAGGAAAUGCACUUAAAAAAAACCCAUUGCUGUAGAGUUGAUUCCUACUCAUACUGACCCUAUAGGGCAGAGAAGGGUUUCCAAGGCUGUAAUCUUUACAAAAGCAGACUGCCACAUCUUUCUACUAUGGAGCUGCUGGUGGGUUAGAACUGCCGACCUUUUGAUUAUCUGCCAAAUGCUUAGCCAUUGCACCACCAGGGCUCCAAAAUGCAGUAUAUAUAGACAAAAAUGCAAGUGAGUAGUAGACAUGAUGUGGGCCUUUGGAAGUUCUUUUCCUGUCUGCUUCUGCUAUCUCACAGAACCUGGAGUGAGAAACAUUAGCUGAGAGUGAGAAUGGGCAAAGAGGUAUUGGAUAUGUAAAAAGAAGUAGAAGAUAUGAAAUAGUCUGGUAGAGAAGCAGGAGAGUAAAUAGACUGGAGAAAUGUAGGUUGUUUGCAUAGCAACAGUGACGUGUCACUCGUGGUUAGUGGUCAUGACCCUUCAGCAAGAUCAUGUGUUUUUCUUUAGCUACACUCAACUAUGAAAGACAUAGAGCAGUUGGAUUUAAGCAGGGUGGGGGUUUUUCCAGGAUUGGGGUAUUGCCAGUAGAGUAUGAUCAAGAAAGAGAGAAGUAAGUAAGUGGGUUUAUGCAAAGGAAGGAUUAUAAUUAUAGACUGUGGAAUAAUAAGUUGUAUGAGGAAGGAAAUGAAAUUUCAGUGGUAUAAGGAAGGAAAGACAUGAAUGGGGGGUGGAACAAUGUUAUUUUAGGAAUGAUAAUGAUUUGGCAUCAUUGAAUAAAGAAUUGAAAAUUGAGUGUCAUGAUAUGGUAAGCACACUCAAACAUGCAGUGUUCUGUUUUGAUCUCUAUUUAUGAGGUAAAUUUCUCAGUUACGAAAAUCAAUAAAACCAUGAAUUAAGAAAAAUUAGCAAGGAACAUGACCUUCAAAUUGCUGUAUCACAAAGUGUUAAACUAACAUUAAAAAAACAAAAGAAACAUAUUUGCCAGAUUUUCUACUAAAAUAUCCAUUUAUUUUAUAACGUUAAUAUAUUAAUAUAUAAAAUAUAUUAAUGUUUUAGCAAAAUCAAAGUGGUUUUUUUGCUUUGAAUAAAUAAUAUGCUUAAUGAGCUUAUCCUUACAAAUUUCUAUUUUUUAUCUUUUUUGUAUACAUAUUAUUAACAUUUAAUUAUAAUUUAUAAAAAUAAGUAUACAAAUACUGGAAUUGGACUUUAUUGAUAGAGAGGUUCAGUCAAUAAAUUUAGAAGGCACUACUCUCUUAAAAUUAUUGCUCUUAAAAUUAUUUCAUUCUCAUUUUGGCAUUUCUUAGAAGAUUUACUGAAAUUCAAUUUAAUUGAACCCAUGGUAGGCAUGUGACAGAGACUCCCUUAACCUCAAUUUCCUCAUCUAUAAAAUGGGGGAAAUAAUAGUAGCUAUCUUUUUUUUUUUUAUCUCAUUGAGAUUGUUGGACUUCAGUAAGGUAAUUCUUGUGAAGUGCUUUGCCCAGAUAUCAGGGCCUGCUCAAUAAAUAUUAGCUAUUUUGAUAAUGAUACUGAUGAUGGCGAAGAAUUGCACAAAAAAUUGAAGCACAUAGAUUUCCAACAUUAUACUAGUGUUGUGAGUGAGAGAAACAACUGUAAUUUAUGGUCCUUACCUCUCGAGAAGUUUAUAAUCCUUCCAGAAAGGCAUGAUUACACAUAUGAAGUAAUUAAAGAACAAUCUAAAUGUAAACGGUGCCAAAUAUCUGUUCCAUCUACCAUAAUGUGUAACGUGUGUGUGGAGAAACUGAAGACCACAGACAAAUUAUUGGCCAGAGCCAAAAAUUCCAGAUAUUAUACUGUGGGCUCCUUUAAGGUCUAUUUAGAGCUAUAGAAAUCACCAUUGUGUUAGUCUCUACUUAUUGCCACAAAUUAAAAUAAAUAAUUUAAUCACAAAAACCAUCAAUUUGGCAGUGACAUAUAGUCUCUGGUUGAGUAAGUGAAGCAGAUAAGUAAAGAAAUUCAUAUUUUUAAAAUAUCUUUUUAUCUUUACUGUAAUGUCAUUAAUACUAAAGGUAAAAUAUUAAACACUACCAACUAUUAAAGACCUACUAUGUACCAGGCACUGUACUGUUCCAUAAAAAAAAAAAUCCUUACAGCAGUUAUAUGAGAUACGUAUUACCACACUCAUUUUGCAGAUGGGGAAAUGAGAAUGAGAGAGAUUAAGUAACUUGCCUAAAGUCAUGCAGCUGAUAAAAGCAGUGGCCUCUCUAGGGGAGUGAGGGGGGUGCAAAACGCACCAGGUGGUAGUCUCAGAGGGUGUGAGACAAAAAUAACUGUCUAUAAAAUUUUCGUGCAUUGUUUCAGUAGAGAUUUAUUAUUUUUUAUAAAAAUACCCCCGUAGGCAGUUAUAACAAUGAAAACAUUUUUCAUAAGCCCCGCUUACACAUAUCAAUAUACCUACAAGGCUACAACUCUGUGCUAAUUUAUUUUUGGAACCUUCUAAAUGUGCCUGAGUGAGAGCUGUCAUUAUUACCCAAUUACAACGACACUUCAAAUCGUGUUUUUGUCUGAAGACACUACAAGCAAGCGCUUUUGUUUUCGUUGCUGCCAGUGUUUUUAUAGUCACUGAUUUUGUUGAAUGUUUUGGGGUUUUAGCUACAAUACUCUGGUAAUUAGCAUGAGGGGUAGGGGUGGAUUAGCCAAUAAGCAAGGUAAGCACAAUGCUUACCUUGCAUGCCAGACCAUCUAUAGUAAACAAUUUCACAUUUUUCACCACAUCAAAGAUUCUGCUUCUAGGUAUAGCUGGCAUCUACUGUCUCUCUCCCAACCCUACAGCAUCUUCCUAUAGAAUCAAAGCCUCUUUUCAAAUUUACAGUCCCUGUCAGGGGUGGGUGAUCCAGUAAGCAAGAUAAGCACAGGCUUACUUGUGCUUACCUACUAAUCUGUAGUGAACAAUUUCACAUGGGUUUCCCAGUAUGUGGAGAUGUGGUGAGACCCAAGUGAAAUUGUCCACUACAGAUUAGCAUGUAAGCACAAGUAAGUCCAUGCUUACCUUGCUUAUUGGAUAAUCUGUCCCUGCGGGGUGGGGGGGGUUUGACACCAUGAGUUACCACACCGUGUGACACCAACCCAAGAGAUGUCACUGGAUAAGAGACCAGGCUAAGAGCCAAACCCACCCUGUCUGACUCAAGAAUCUCACCAGUGAGAGAGUUUCUAUUUAUAACUCUGGUGACGUUUGCAAGGGGUACAUACCCCCUUAUAAAAAAAACACGAAAGAGGACUUCCAGUUUAGUUUAGUUCAUUUUUGCUUAGAGGGAUCAGUUGGUCCUGUAAUUCCAUUUGAUCUAAGCCAAAAUUCACAUAAUUGGGCUGAAAGAGGCCAAAACUUAAUAAUUCUUGCUUCGAACCAAUCUUAAUCAAAUCAUUUUGAAAUAGAAUCUACUGUCCUUUUAAGUACAGCUACAGAUCCCCAUUUGGAAGUAUCCUUCAUUUCAUUGAAACAAAGGACUCUCCUAAACACUAAGUUUCUUAGAGACAACUUCUGUGAGGUUAUUUUCACUGAGAAAUAAGCCAAAUUCCUUAGAUUCCUAACCUACCCCUUUAGUUGAAUGUCUCCUGGAGGAAGAAAAAAAAGAAAAUUAUCCCCAGGAAAUUUCUCUGUUGAUCUAGAAGGAAGCUAGGCUUCCUAUCUUACACUUUUUGAAUUAGUACCUAGAUAAUCUGGAAAAUGUACAGUAAAAGCUAGAGUGGAGACCAAGAUAACAUAAAACCCCAAGGAUCAUGGAUAUUGUGAAGAGGCAGAAGCAGCCACCUCAUAAUGACUCAUCACCCACAGGCUGCUCAAUCCUCUUUCCCAAAGAUACUUUUGUGUGGUCACCAUAGGAAGGGAAGUGCAGGCAUGUGAAAAGUGGAAUGCAUGAGCUAAUUUCAUCACGCUGGAAGCCAGGCCACUGGCCUUUCUCCAGAGGAACUACAGCCUCCAUGGCAUCCUGUCAGGACAAUACCCUGAAAACCUUUUAAACUCCCCCAAAUUUGGCACAAACUCUGAAAUAUAUCUUUGGAGACAGAAACUUUCAAGGAAAAGCUGCAUGUUCACUAGGAGAAAGAAUCCAGGAUCAGAGCUUAAAGACAUGAGGUUGCUUAAAUUCAGUUCUGGCAGGAGAUGUCCUAGAUGCCUCGAGCUUUAUUAGACUUCCUCUCUUCCUUUCCAGGAGCUACGGUGUGCCCUUGAAAAAGUCAUUUUCCUCCUCUAUGAAUUGGUUUCUUAGUCAAAUGACAGAACUAAGGAGACAUAUCCAAGUUCAUCUGGCUAACAAAAUGUCAGAUGGCUUUUAGAAGGAAAAAGCACCUCCAAGUUUAAGCUAAUAUUAUCACACUACACAUUUUUCACAAAUUUAAAUGCUCAGAAUAUCUAAUAAUUCUUUUCCUUCUGCUCAAAACUUCACUGCCCAUGAAAGCUCAGACUUCACUUAUCCUCUCUCUGUAUUACCCUUCGAUAAACUACUGAUCACUAUAUUUUACAGUUGGAAAGGAAUGUUAUGAUAAACAAAUCUAUUCCCCCACCACCAUCUUUUCAGAUGAAGAAACUUGCAAUCAGAAAAAUUAAAUGGCUUUCUGAAAUUCAUAAACUGGUUCUUGGAAGACCUAGAACCAGAAUCCAGAUCUUCUUGCUCUAGUUCAGUUGCCAUUUCCCCCGCAAAUGAUACACUAACCAUUUGUCAUCUUAUUCUGUCUUGAGUUAUUAUCUCUUUAUGUAUUUUCCUUCAAUAGUGGUGCAGUGGUUAAGAGCUAGGCUGUUAACCAAAGGGUCGGGAGUUCGAAUCCACCAGCCGCUCUUUGGAAAUCCUGUAGGGAAGUUCUACUCUGUCCUAUAGGGUCACUAUGAGUCAGAAUCGAGUCAACCACAAUGGGUUUGGCUUAUUUAUUGUUAUUAUUAUUAUUAUUUAGUACUGUCAGCAUACAUUUUAUUCCUUGAGGGAAAGGAUAAUGUUUGAUACCUUUCUCAUUCCACCAAGAGUGUUUAGCGGAGUUCCAGGAGAGGAGAAAAUACUUCACAGGCAUUUGUCAAUUGACUCAUUUAAUCAAGUCAUUCCAUCUAACUCAGUUCUAUAACUAACUCUUAGUCCUUUCUGACACCUUCCCUCUCAGGACACUUAGAUAAACCUCUAAAUCCAUAUUUCAUGACAAGACUGGAAUCAUAUUUACAUUAUUUGUGCCCACAUGUCUCUUCCUUCCAACCAGCUAUAACAAUACUGAGUGACAAUGAUAACAACUAGAAUAAAAAAAGAAAAAAGGAAUUAUAAUAAACAGCAACCUAAUAUACUGUUUCCUCCUUACCUUGAGUGGGAGAAAAAUAAAGAUUAGUAUAAUGAAGAGGCAAAGCAAUAGAAAAGUUAUUGUUGAGCAGAGGAGCCAUAGCUUCCAGGAUGAUCUCUGUGCUCCUUGAGGACUUGAAUGGUUUAAAGGCAUAUUUUCCAAGUGGCUCAAGCUCAUUUUCUGGAAGAACGAGAGCUGUGAAAAGCAGAUAUUCAUGAAUGGUAGGUGAACGAUGCAACAUGUCAUGUUUUGUAGCAUUAUGGUAAUUAGUAGUGGGUGUAGAGGUGGAGUUUUCCUUCUGACACUGUAUUGGAAAAUGAUACUUCUAGGCUAAGCACUGACUCUCAUUUGGAGCCUGGCCAACUGGAAGGAACGGUCUGAAGGCUAAAUGCCAGCACAAACACACGGGAUAAAAGAACCAACACUAAGGAAGUUGUCAGAGGGAAAAAAAAAUAAAACCUCUUUCAAGAAGCCAGAGGAAGUGCAAUGGAGCUCAAUACUCUCAGUGCUGUGCAGGGCUCCAAAUGCAUUUCCAGAUAAGAAAAUUACAUUUUAUAACAAAAAAUAAAGUUCAAGAUCAGGUUAUAGAUACUCCAAAUAUUUAAUGUACAUGUGGGGUAAAGAGUUUCGGGCUGGAGAGACAAGUACAUGGUUUGGAAAAAUAAAGAGCUUCAUCGAUUUCUAGGAUAUAAAAUGUGUUCAUUCUGAGGUUUUCUCUAGGAAAGAUCAAAUAUAUUACUAGAAUUUAAUAAAAAUUUAUAAGUAUAGUGAGCUCAAUUUGCUCAUAUCUCACAACUUUAAAAACCUGAAAAUUCAAUGCUGGUAUCAAAUAAAAAUAGAAUUCUCAAAUAAAAGGAUAUUUGUCUGCACCUUUACCACAGGCCUGAGCUUAUACUCUAUACCAAAAAAAAAAUAGGAUUUCUUCUUGGCACCCAAAAUGCUGAUUUACCGCAAAAUUGAGGCGGUCCUCCCGGUUCGCUGUACCUCAGUUUCUUCAUCCGUUAAAAUGAAAUACUUACCAUUUUACCACUUUACAGAAUUUCAGCAUCAUAUGCAAGAAAGAAUGUGGUUUUUAAAUUGGGUGGACCUGACAGUGGAACCUAGUGCUGCCCAGCCCUCACCCGCUCUGUGUGUGGCCUUAGACACAUUCCUUGACUUCUCUGAGCUUCAAUUUCCUGAGUUAUAAAAUGGAGAAGUGAAACUUUUCACUUCGUAAUGCUUUUGUGAGUGAAAAUUACGUAUAUGUGAAAGCUUUGGCUCAUACCAGGUAUUUGACAAGUGUUAAUUUUUCUCUCCCUGGCCCCCUUAGGGAUUUUGUGAAGAUCAAAUCAAUUACGAAAUCCUAGAAAAGAAAGAUCAUUCUUUAUUGUUAUAUACCACACAGGGUAAUUCAAUUGAGAUGCAUUUAAAUGAAAAGAGGUAAAAUGAAACUAUUUUGAAGAAAAUAAUUUUUUUUAAUCAAAGAGAGAAUCAAAGAUUUUUUUAAUUAAAAAAAAACAUCUAGGGAUUUAUUGUCUUCAUUUAUAGAAGAGGAAGCUAAGGAUAAUAGAGGUUAAGUGGUAUCUCAAACCACAAAUAACUGGUUAAUGGUGGAGUGGGAACCCAAGCCCAUACUGUUUAGUUAACCCACCAUCUUCUCUUGGAACGUCAUUGUUUGCAGUAAUAUUUCUUGCUUAGUUUCACAGUUUAACUUGAUACUAUUUGACCUUGAUCCAUAGACUACCUCUGAAGAGAGGAGUCAUACAGGAGUAAUUUUUCUAGACAAUCACUUCUGUGGCUUUGUACACUCGAUGCUAUGAUGCAGGGCUGGGAACUGAGCUCACUUUAAAUGAUGUCUUGCCGCUAUAACUCUUGCACUUGUACCUGGACCGCAGAUAAGCAAAGAACACAAUUUAAAAGUAAACACUGUUAGGCUGGACUAUUUCCUUCCUGUUUAUCUGGUCUGCUCCUUCUCCUGUCUCCUCUCCAAAUCUUAGAUGGAGCUACCCCUGCUUGCUCACUUUAGUAAACAUUUAUUCAUUUGAGGGUCUUGUCCAAAUAAAACCCAGUUCCUUCUUCUGCCUUUAACCCAAGGUUAAGCUCUGGUAUUUCCUGAUUUAUUAUUUUGACCUUAUGAAAGUAUCUUUAAAAUGAUAACAUGCUUACCUCAAGAAGAAUAUAUUCCAGGGCUCUGAAAUGAGGAAGAAACUUCAAGUUAAGACAGGUGGAAGUGGAAAGAUUUUUUGAAAUUCUAGAGUAAUGAGUCACAAUUUGUACAUCUUUGGUGUAAGCUGUCAGAAUUUCAUGUGCCAUCUCAGAGCUUGACAAGAAGUAACAAGGCCACCAAAUCCAAGAUGUGUAUUUAUGGUCUGUCACUGUCUUAGGUACUUGGAAAGAGUUUUUUUUUUUUUUAAAUUAAGUUCAGUUAGCAAAUCUAUGUUGAAUAUCUACUGCCCACUCGCCACCGCGCUAACAGCUAUGAGGGAAACAAAAAAUACACAGAGUCACAGUUGUGAAGGAAUUUGUCACCCAACUAGAUUAACACCUUAUAAAUAGAAGGGCAGAAGUCCCAAAUACAUCAUAUGGGACAGAGCCUCAGACAAACAGAAAGAUUUAGAUAAGCUGAAAUAGUUGAAAAGAUGGGUUAAAAUUAGAUUUAGAGGGAAAAGGAGGGAGCUCUUUCUUGAGGGAGUGGUGAAACAUGGGAAGUAAAGAUACAGGGGUGUAAACGAGUGACUAACAUAUGCAGUGUCCUCACACAUCUGGAAAUGCUAGAAAUUUAAACGAGAACUCAGUAUGAGAAAAGAACUAAACACCAAAAUGAAGCGUUUCAGAAAGAGCAGUAAAAGAAAACCUUCCGUCUGUAUUUUUCCAAUUAAAAAAAAAAAAGCAGCAAGAUAUGCUUGACUGAGAAAUUAUAACUGUAUUCACUGUUGCUUUAAUUCAGAAUGAAUUAGUUAUACAUCAACCUACCCUUAGUUUCACUGUUGACUAGAUUAUCCUAAAAUGAAUUGGGCACCUUCUGGCUGGCUUCUGGGUGCACAAACAAUUACAUUGAACACCAGGUAGCCCUGUAUUGAUAUCUCCGUUCCUACAAAUGAUGAAACCGGCCCUUAGGGAGCAUAAAUGAUUGGCUCAUAGAAGCGGAACAGGGAUUGAAUCCCUAUCUGUUGGAUUCCAAAACCCCACCCAUAUUAUUUCCACCUCUCAUGUUGAACUGUAUGAGUUAAGGAAGUUCUGUGUGGAGUAAACAGAGUGAGAAAUGUAUUAAAACCUGGGAGUGUGCACUAGGUGGGACUCCAGUUUCCUACAAAAUCCUGUGUUUCUCAAGUCUGCACUCCUCACCACAUUCCCCUUAUACGACUGUGAUGAUUUUAUCCUUGUGAUACUGUUUGGUGCAGUAUAUUCAUCCAGAAGUAUCCAAUACAUAAGAACUCAAUAAGGAAUGCUACAAAUCUGAUUUGCCUACUGUGGAUAUCAGAAUAUUCAUUGUCACCACAAUUAGGGUCCUUUUGGCUUGAUGAUAGGCACUUGAUAGAGAGAGAGAGAGAGAUGAUUGAUAGAUUAAAAAAAAAAAAAAACCAAACCAAACCCAUCGAGUGGAUUCCAACUCAUAGCGACCCUAUAGGACAGAGUAGAACUGCUCCAUAGAGUAUCCAAGGAGUGCCUGGUGGAUCCGAACUGCUGAACUUUAAGGUUAGCAGCCUUAGCACUUAACCACUACGCCACCAGCAUUUCCAGAUUGAUAGAUAAACAUAAAAUAUAAAGAGGGUUUUAAACUUAGGAUUUGAUGAAAGGGACAACAGUGUCUGUUAAGAUUAGUAAAUGCCUACUCUCCUUUUUACUCUGUGAAAAGAAUUAUGUACAGUUCAUUAUAACUCUUCCACUACCAUUGGUGUAACAGUAUGCCAGCCACUUUUUAUGCCUUUGGACCUCAUUCCAAAACCAAACCAAACCCAUUGCUGUCUCACAGCUAUUCCAACUCACAGCAACCCUAGGCGACAGAGUAGAAAUGCCUCAUGGAGUUUACAAGGAGCAACUGGUAGGUUCAAACUGCCAACCUUUUGGUUAGCAGCUGAGUUCUUAGCCGGUUGGCCACCAGGGCUCAUCGCUAGUAUGUUAUUCCAGUUCUAACGCAUUUAGUGCGAAGAUGAGUUCGUUUUGAAAUGCAUGAAGUUCAGCAGACCAGAGCUGGGGCCUCACUGUUAUGUAGGUGGUGCUUCCUGGAUGUGUUAGUUUCAUGAACUUUUGUAACUUUUGCCUUUUUUUCCUUUAUUUCUGUGAGAUAAGGUUUGCAAGCAGAAUUGACUUUUCUGUGUGAUAGUUAGGGAGCCCCGAUGGGUUUGUUUUGGUUUUUUGGUGUCAUACUUAGAAAACCACAGGUUUCCCAAGUAACCUAACAGAAAUGGAAAGGUACUCGCAGUAAAUUCUCUAUUUAUCUCUUACUGGUAUAUUGUGAUACCACAGAUCACUGGCACCAAAGUGACACUAGUCUCAUUGGUAGAUUGAAUUACAAGAUUAUAUUUCUCAAAAGCCGUAUUACCGACCAAAAAUUUAAACACAAUCAAUUGGUAAGUAUGCAUUCCAAUACUGAAGACACAUGCCAUCAAAAUUUUUUUUAAAAAUUAAAAAUUUGGUAACUAAAGGGUUGUACAUAAAUAGACAUAUGUACAUAUAUACAUCUAUUUAUAUACGAUCUAUACACAUAUAUACAUAUUAUAUGUAUAAUAAAUUCUAAAAGAGAUACAGGAGCCUCUCAUAUCAAUCUUAACAUCAUCGUCUCUAAAGAAAUAGUAAUAGUUCUUAAUCGGGGUGGUCUAGGAAAUAGUUUGAAUCUAAACCAUGUUUUUUCUUCCAUGACCUGGGGACUCUUUUCUGUGCCCCACGUUGUCUUGCUUUGUGCUAUUUUUGUAUCCACUUUUUGGAACCCUUACCAAAUUCUUCAUUAGUUGUCUAUAUUUUAUUGUCUCAAGUACAGCCCUUAAGUAGCAGGUCUAUCGGCCCAUUGGUAUGGAAGCCUUUCUGUUCUAGCUACCUGUCUUACCACUAAGAUUCGAGGAUGACUGUGUGAUAUUCUAAAUCCCCAUCUCACCAGCUUGAGCCCUCUGUGUCUAUGGUUGGUUGUUUUUGUUUUAUGUAUAAGUAUGUACAUGUCCUCUCUUGCCUAGUCAGCAUUCUGUCAGUAUCCUGGCCAGGGGAGGAGCAUCUUAAGUACUUUUUGAUGGGAAGAGUGACUUACUGCUCAGAAUCUGAACUAAAAACAGAUUUUCCAUUGCACAAUAUGGCAUGACAUCAACAGCACCCUAGAAGGCGUAGUGAAUGGGCAUUGCUUAAAACUCUCUCUUGCCCAAUAUCAUGUAGAUUGCCAGAGAACUGUGUAUUUCACCUACCAACCUAGUUGCAAUAAAAGGGUCUUAAGACUGCUGAGACUGCGUAUUUCCCUAAAAUAUCCUGGGUUUCCUUAAGCAGCACUGGUGGAGGAAAGUGAGGAGAUAUUUUGCUUUUAUCCGUUACUUGAUCUCUCCAUUUGACAGGAUGCUAGUUACCCCCUCCAAGAUACUACUGUACACCAGCUCCGUUAGAUAACAAUCAACUCAUUCACUGCUUUCAACACUCAACUAUGACGUACUCAUGUAGACAUGUAGAGGAUAUUUUGCUCCUGUUUUUCCAUUUUUAGCACUGGCCUUGCACCAUUCAAUUUAGACAUUUAGGUACAGAUGACACAAGGCUAGAUUUGUUGGUUUGGGCAUUGAGAGCUUGAAUAAGUAAAGAAAGGUUUUGGAUUUUCUAUGAUGAAAUGAUUCCUGUAUAUACCAAAAGGCCAUUGUAUUCCCCUUGUUUAUUUAGAAAACAUUAUUGAAUGCCUGCUAUGUGCCAAGUACAAUGUGAGGAGCUUGAAUCCUGCCAGAUAAGGGUCAGUUCCUGUCAUCAAAUUUUUAUUGUUUUCUUUUUGUUUGUCUAUUUAUUUCAUUUUUUAUGUUUUUGUAGGUAGCUGGGAAAAGAGACAAAUGUACAAGGCCAAUACAGACAGAAGUGUGGUAAUAGGGAAUCCCUGGAUGGUACAAAUGGUUUACACGCUUUACUGCUAACUGAAAGGUUGGAGGUUUAAGUCCAGCCAGAGGCACCUCAGAAGAAAGGCCUGAAUAUCAUCUCCUGAAAAAAAUCAGCCAUUAAAAACCUUAUAGAGUGUAGUUAUAACUCUGACACACAUGGGGUAGCCAUGAGUCAGAAUUGACUCAAGAUGGCAACUGGUUUUUACCAUGUGCUAUACUCUGGGGAAUCAACAGAGAAAGUCAGGGCUUUCAUCUCUGCAAUCUACAACUGGCAAGAAUUCUCUGCUUGAAGAAAGUUGUCUCAGGAGCUCUGAACUCAGGCAGAGGAGCCGCUAUCACUUCACAUCCAGGAUGCUAUUUGCACUGUGAUACUCUGGGAAUCCCCUCCUCUCCCCAUGGCUGACCAGAUUUCAACCUGGACUCACAGACGGUGGUCUGAACUCCUUUCCAGAAGAUAAGGAAAUGGAAACCUAGCCUGAAGCACAGUGAAGAUGGAAAAGGAAACACAGGAGAGGAGCGGUCUUUCAGCCAUUUAAAAGCACUGCAGCAGUGCAUCAUCAGGGAACUCCCAGAAAUUCAAACCAGAUUCAGAAGAGGAUGUGGAACAAGGGAUAGCAUGCUGAUGUCAGAUGGAUCACGGUUGAAAGCAGUGAAUACCAUAAAGAUGUUUAUCUUUACCUUAUUAUUUUUUUUAUUGAGUACGCAGAGACAUUUACUGUGUGGAUUAUAACAAAUUAUGAAUAACAUCAUGAAGAAUGGGAAUUUCAGAACCCUCAGCUGUGCUCAUGAGGAAUGCGACUAUGACCAAGAAGCAGCCAUUCCAGCAGAACAAGGGGAUACUGCAUGGUUUAAAGUCAAGAAUGAUAUUCGUCAGGGCUGUAUUCUUUCACCAUACUUAUUCAAUCUGUAUGCUGAGCAAAUAAUCUGAGAAGCCGGACUGUAUGAAGAAGAACAUGGCAUCAGAAUUGGAGGAAGACUCAUUAAGAACAUGCAAUACGCAGAUGAAACAACUGCUUGCAGAGAGGGAAGAGGACUUGAAGCACCUACUGAUGAAGAUCAAAGACCACAGCCUUCAGUAUGGAUUACACUUCAAUAUAAAUAUAACAAAAAUCCUCACAACUGCCUGAUAAACAGAGAAAAGAUUGAAGUUUUCAAGGACUUCAUUUUACUUGGAUCCACAAUCAACAUCCGUGGAAGCAGCAGUCAGAAAUCAAAUGAUGCGUUGCAUUUGGCAUAUCUGCUGCAAAAUAUCUCUUUAAAGUGUUAAAAAGCAAAGAUGUCACUUUAAGAAAAAAGGUGCACCUGACCCCAAGCCAUGGUAUUUUCAGUCCCUUCAUAUGCAUGUGAAAGCUGGACAAUGAAUAAGGAAGACCAAAGAAUUGAUGCUAUCGAAUUAUGGUGUUGGUGAAGAAUAUUGAAUACACCAUAGGCUGCCAGAAGAAUGAACAAAUCUGUCUUGGAAGAAGUAGAGCCAGAAUGCUCCUCAGAAGCAAGAAUGGCAAGACGUUGUCUCACAUACUCUGAACAUGUUAUCAGGAGGGACCAAUCCCUUGAGAAGGACAUCAUGCUUGGUAAAUUUGAGGAUUAGUGAAAAAGAGGAAGACCCUCCACAAGAUGGAUUAACACAGUGGUUGAAACAAUGGACUCAAGGGUAACAACAAUUGUGAGGAUGGUGCAGUGUUUCCGUCUGUUGUACAUAGGGUCGCUAUCAGUUGGAUUCGACUCAUUGGCACCUAACAACAACACAGUGGGUAUGAAGUUGCAUCUCAUUAGAGUUUUGAUUUGCAUUUACCUAAUCACGAGUGAUGUUGAGCAUCUUUUCAAGUGCUUAUUGGUCAUUUGUAUAUUUUUACUGAAGAAAUGACUAUACAAAUUUUUUUGCCCAUUUUUAGUUGGCUUAUUUGCCCUUUUAUUAGUAUACCAUCAGAGUUUCUUAAUACUCUGAAUAGGAAUCCUUUAUCAGUUAUAUGACUUGCAAAUAUUUUUUCCAGUCUGUGGGUUGUCUUCAUUUUCUUGACAGUGUCCUUUGAAGUACAGAAGUUUUUCAUUUUGAUGAGAUUCAAUUUUUUUUCUUUUGUCACCUGUGCUUUUGGUGUCAUAUCUAAGAAACCGUUGCCUAACCCACUGUCACAAAAUUUUACUCCCAAGCUUUCUGCUAGGAGUUUUGUAAUUUUAGCUCUUAUAUUUAGAUCUAUGAUUCAAUUUUAGUUAAUGUGUAUAUGGUGGGAGGUAGGCAUCCAACUUGAUUCUUUUCCAAGAAAAUGUUCAGUUAUUCCAGCACCAUCCAUUGAAAAGAAUAUUCUUUCCCCGUUGAAUUUUCUUGGCACACUUACUGAAAAGCAAUUUACCGUAAAUGUAAGAGCUAAUAUCGAGUCUCUCAAUUCUAGUCUAUUGAUCUAUAUUUCUAACUUUAUGCCAGUACUAUACUGUAUUGAUUACUGUUUUGAAGUAAGUUUUGAAAUCGUUAUUUUUCAAUGUUAUUUUGAUUAUUCUGUGUCCCUUGAUUUCCAUUCAAAUUUUAGAUUCAGCUUAUCAAUUUCUGCAAAAAAAGACAUCUGGGAUUUUAGUAGAGAUUGCAGUGAAUCUGUACGUGAAUAUGAGGAAUGUUACCAUCAUUUUCUUAAGUCUUCCAAUGCGCAACCAUAGAAGUCUCUCCGUUUAUUUAAAUCUUUAUUUUUUCAGCAAUGUUUUAUAAUUUUCAGUGUACAAGUCUUGCACUUUUUUGUUAAAUUUAUUCGUAUUUCACUCUUUUAGAUGCUAUUGUGAAUGGAAUGUUUUCUUAAUUUCAUUUUUGAAUUAUUAAUUGCUAAUAUAUGUCAAUUGAUUUUUAUACGUUGAUGUUAUAUCCUGCAACUUUUCUGAACUCAUUUAUUCGUUCCAACUGGGGUUUUGUGUGUGUGUGUGUGUGUGUGUGUGUGUGUGUGUGUGUGGAUUCCUUGGGAUUUUCCUUUUUGUGUGCUUUAGGUGAAACUUUACAGAGCAAAUUAGUUUCUCAUUAAACAGUUAAUACAAUUUUUAUCAUAAAAAGGUGUUGGAUUUUGACAAAUACUUUUGUUGAAUCUAUUAAGAUGAGUUUUUGUCCUUUAUUCUAUUAAUAUGGGGUAUUACAUUUAUUGAUUUUCAUGUUAAAUCAACCUGAUCAUGGUGUAUAAUCCUUUUUAUAUGUUUGUAUGUUGUUGUAUUCAGUUUGCUAGUAUUUUGUUGUAUAUUUUUGCAUUUAUAUCUAUAAGGGAUAUUUAUCAGUAGUUUUCUUUUCUUGUGACAUCUUUGUCUGAUUUUCAUAUCAGGGUAAUACUGGUCUAAUAGAAUGAAUUAAGAAGUGUUUCAUCCUAUAUUUUUUUUUUAGAAUAGUUUGUAAAGAUUGCUAUAGUUUUUUUUUUCCUAAAGGUUUGGUAGAAUCCAUCAGUAAAGCUAUCUAGACCUGGGCUUUUCUUUAUGAGAAUUUUAAAAUUACUGAUUCAAUUUCUUUACUUGUAAUAGAUCAGAUAUGCUAUUUCUCCUUGAAUCCAUUUUGGUAGUUUGUGCCCUUGUAGAAAUUUGUCAAUUUUACCUAGCUUGUAUAACUUGUUGUCACACAGUUGUCCAUAGUAUCCUCUUAUAACCCAUGGGUAGGUUGGGUACUGGCACAACUACCCUUGGCACACUCUUUCAUUCCUUAUGUUAUUAAUUAUGGUUUCUUUGAUUUUCUCUCUUGUUUUCAACUGUAUUUCAUUUAUUUCUAGUCUUUAUUAUCCCAUUCCUUCUGCAUGCUUUGAGUUCAGUUCUUCUUUUCCUAGUUUCUUAAGGUAGAAGAUUAGAUUACUGACUUGAUAUCUUUCUACUUUUUUAAUGUAGGCUUUCCCAGCUAUAAAUUUUCUUCUGAGCUUUUUUUUUUAAUCUGUAUUUCAUAAGAUUUAGUAUGUUGUGUUUUUAUUCUAAUUCACCUCAACGUAUUUCUAAACUUCCCUCAUGAUUUCUUUUGACCCAUUGGUUAUUUAGGAGUAUGUCAUUUAAUUAUCACAUAUUUGUGAGUUUCCCAAAACUUUUAUCAUUUUUAAUUUCCAAGGAGAUGAGAGAAAAUACUUUGUAUAAUUUCAAUCCAUUGAAACUUACUGAGGCUUGUUUUAUUGUUUAGCAUAUGAUAUAUUCUUGCAAUUGUUUUAUGUGUUAAUGAGAAAUGUAUAUUCUGCUGUUGUUAAGUGGAGUGUUUUAUAGAUAUCAAUCAUGUUUACUUGAUUAUAGUUUUGUUCAGCUCUCUAUUUCUCUGUUGAUCUUUUGGAGUAUUGAAGCCUCCAACUGUGAUUGUUUAAUUUCUUUUUACAAAUUUCCCUGCAAUUCUUCCAAGUAUUUUGGGGCUCUGUAAGGUGUAUAUAUGCUUCUAAUUAUCUUGUUUUCCUGAUUGAUUGAUGAUUUUAUCAUUAUAAAAUAUUCCUUUUUUCUCCCCUAGUAACAAUUUUUGUCUUAAAGUCUCCUUUGUCUGAUACAGUGUAGCCGUUGCAGCUCCUUUUAGUUACUGUUUCCUUGGCCUAUCUUUUUUCUUCCUUUUACUUCCAGCCUAUUUGUGUCUUUGAAUCUAAAGUGUGUUUCUUGUAGACAACAUAUAAUUUGGUCGUAUUUUCUUACAUAUUCUGCUAACCUAUGCUUUUUAUUAGAAUUUUUAAUCCAUUUACAUUUAAUGUAAAUACUGAUGAGGUAGGAUUUGUGUCUGCCAUUAUACUAUUUGUUUUAUAUGUCUGUAUCUUUUUGUUCCUCUGUUUCUCUAUUGCUGCCUUUUUGGAGUUAAAUUCAUGUUUUCUACUGUACCAUUUUGACUCUCUUGUUUUUUAUUACAAUAUUGACUAUAUUUUUAAAUAUUUAUUUUCUUAGUAAUUGCCCUGGAGAUUAAAACUAGCAUCUUAACUUAAAAUAAUAUACUUCGGAUUAAUACCAACUGUAUUUCAAUAGUAUACAAAAUUUUUGUUUGAAUAUACCUCCUUUGUGUUAUUCUCAUCACACAAAUUACAUCUUUAUGGAUUAUAAAACCAUCAACUCAGCUUUAUAAUUAUUCUUUAAUGUAUUUGUCUUUAAACUCACAUAGAAAAAGAAAAGAGUUAGAAACAAAACGUGUUUACAUUGUGUUUUAUAUUUAUCCAUGUAGUUGCUGUUUCUGGUGCUCUAUUAUUUCACGUAGAUUUCAGUUAUAAUCUGCCACACUUUUAUGCAUAAUGUGCACCUUCUGCGCUUGUUUACAGGCUGUGCCCUCCCCCAGCAAGGUACCCACAAAGCAUCACCAUGCCAAUUCUUUUCCACAUGUUGCUUUAAAAAAACAAACAGCAUACUGUGCUUGAAACAAAAGCACGUCAUGGUGGUGAGAGGGGGAGGGGAGCAUGACCAGCAAACAAAUGCAUAAAAAUAUGAAAGUAUCCUUUCAUUUUAGCCUGAAGGUCUUCCUUUAGUAUUUCUUAUUGAGCAGUUCUGUUGCUGUUUUCAGGUGCCACUGAGUUGAUUUCAACUCACAGCGACCCCACAUACAACAGAAUAAAACACUGAUCCUGUGCCAUCCUCAUAAUCAUUGCUAUGUUUGAAGCCCAUUGUUGUAGCCACUGUGACAGUCCAUCUCAUUGAGGGUCUUCCUCUUCUUCACUGACCCUCCACUUUACCAAGCAUAAUGUCCUUCUUCAGGGACUAGUCCCUUCUGAUAAUGUAUUCAAAGUACGUGAGAUGAAGUCUUGCCAUUCUCACUUCUAAGGAACAUUCCGGCUGUACUUCUAUCAAGACAGAUCUGUCCAUUCUUCUUGCACUCCAUGGUAUAUUCAACAUCUUUAUCAACACCAUAAAUUAAAAGCAUCAGUUCUUCAGUCAUCCUUAUUCAUUGUCCAGCUUUCACAUACGUUUUGUUGUUGUUGUUUUUAGGUGUCAUCGAGUCAGUUCCAACUUAUAGCAACCCUAUGCACAACAGAAUGAAACCCUGCCCGGUCCUGCACCAUCCUUAUAAUCGUUGCUAUGUGUAAGCCCAUUGUUACAGCCACUGUGUCAAUCCAUUUCAUUGAGGAUCUUCCUCUUUUUCACUGACCCUCUACUUUACCAAACAUUAUGUCCUUCUCCAGAGACUGAUCCGUCCUGACAACAUGUCCAAAAUAUGUGAGACACAGUCUUGCCAUCCUUGCUUUCAAGGAACAUUCUGGUUGUACUUCUUCCAGGACUGAUUUGUUCAUUCUUUUGGCAGUCCAUGGUAUAUUCAAUAUUCUUUGCCAACACCACAAUCCAAGGACAUCGAUUCUUCUUUGGCCUUCCUUAUUCAUUGUCUAGCUUUCACAUGCAUAUGAGGCAAAUGAAAACACCAUGACUUGGGUCAGGCUCACCUUAGUCCUCAAGGUGAUCUCUUUGAUUUUCAACACUUUAAAGAGAUCUCUUGCAGCUGAUUUGCCCAAUGCAAUGCAUCUUUUGAUUUCUUGACUGCUGUUUCCUUGAGUAUUGAUUGUGAAUCCAAGUAAAAUGAAACUCUUGACAACCUCAAUCUUUUCUCCGUUUAUCAUGAUGUUGCUUAUUGGCCCAGUUGUCAGAAUUUUUGUUUUCUUUAUGUUGAGGUGUAAUCCAUACUGAAGGCUGUUGUCUUUGAUCUUCAUCCGUAAGUGCUUCAAGGCUUCUUCACUUUCAGCAAGCAAGGUUGAGUCAUCUGCAUAACCCAGGUUAUUAAUGAAUCUUUCUCCAAUCCUGAUGUCCUGUUCUUCUUCAUAUAGUCCAGCUUCCCGGGUUAUUUAUUCAGCAUACAGAUUGAAUAGGUAUAGUGAAAGGAUACAACCCUGAAGCACACCUUUCCUGACUUUAAACCAUGCAGUAUUCCCUUGUUCUGUUCCAAAGGCUACCUCUUGAUCUCCGUACAGAUUACUCAUGAGCACAAUUGUUUUGAAAUUCCCAUUCUCUGCAAUGUUAUCCAUAAUUUCUUAUGAUCCAUACAGUCGAAUACCAUAGCAUAGUCAGUAAAAUAUGCAUGCAUAUUAGGAAAUUGAAAAUACCAUGGUUUGAGUCAGACAGCCCCACCUUAGUCCUCUAGGUGACUUCUUUGUUUUUUAACCCUUUAAACAGGUCUUUUGCAGCAGUUUUGCCCAAUACAAUAAUACGUCUUUUUAUUUCUUAGAAAACCCUGGUGGCGUGGUGGUUAAGUGCUACAGCUGCUAACCAAAGGGUCGGAAGUUUGAAUCCGCCAGGCACUCCUAGGAAACUCUAUGGGGCAGUUCUACUCUGUCCUAUAGGGUCGCUAUGUGUUGGAAUCGACUCGGCGGCACUGGUUUUGGUUUGGUUUUGGUUUUUAUUUCUUAACUGCUGCUACCAUGAGUGCUGAUUGUGGAUUCAAGUAAAAUGAAAUCCUUGACAACUUCAAUCUUUUCUCCUUUUAUUAUGAUGUCGCUUAUUGGUCCAGUUGUGAGGAUUUUUGUUUUCUUUAUGUUGAUGUGUAAUUCAUACUGAAGGCUGUAGUCUUUGAUUUUCAUCAGUAAGUGCUUGAAGUCCUCCUCACUUUCAGCAAGCAAGGUUGUGUCAUCUGCAUAUUGCAGAUUGUUAAUGAGUCUCUCUUCAAUCCCGAUACCACAUUUUUCUUCAUGUAGCCCAGCUUCUCAGAUUCUUUGUUCAGCAUACAGAUUGGGUAACUAUGGUGAAAGGAUAUAACCCUGACGCACACUUUCCCUGAUUUUAUACCAUCCGGUAUCCCCUUGUUCUGUUCAAACAACUGCCUUUUGGUCUAUGUACAAGUGCCACAUGAGCACAAUUAAGUGUUCUGGAGUUCCUAUUCUUCCCAAUGUUAUCCAUAAUUUGUUACGAUCCGCGCAGCCGAAUGCUUUCGUACACUCAAUAAAGCACAGGUAUACAACUUUCUGGUAUUCUCUGCUUUCAGCUAAGAUCCAUCUGAUGUCAGCAGUGAUAUCCCUCAUUCCAUGUCCUCUUCUGAAUCUGGAUUGAAUUUCUGGCACUUGCCUGUCAAUGUACUACUGCAGCCAUUUUUUAAACUAUUGUCAGCAAAAUUUUACUUGCAUGUGAUAUUAACAAUAUUGUUUGAUAAUUUCAGCAUUCUGUUGGAUCACCAUUCUUUGGGACAGGCACAAAUAUGGAUCUCUUCAAGCAGUUGGCAAUGUAGCUGUCUUCCAAAUUUCUUGGCAUAAACAAGUGUUGCAUCAGUUUGUUGAAACAUCUCAAUUGAUAUUCUGUCAAUUCCUGGAGACUUCUUGUUCAUCAAUACCUUCAGUGCAGCUUAGACGUCUUCCUUCAGUACUGUCAGUUCUUGAUCACGUGCUACCCCCUGAAAUGGAUGAACAUCGACGAAUUCUUUUUAGUACAGCAACUGUUUAUUCCUUCCAUCUUCUUUUGAUGCUUUCUGCAUUAUUCAAUACUUGCCCAUAGAAUCCUUCAAUAUUGUAACUCGAGGCUUGAAUUUUUUCUUUAGGUCUUUUAGCUUGAGUAAUGCCGGGUGUGUUCUUCCCUGUGGUUUUCUAACUCCAGGUCUUUGCACAUUUCAUUAUAAUUCUUUAUUUUGCCUUCUGGAGCCAACCUUUGAAAUCUUCUGUUCAGCUCUUUUGCAUCAUCAUUUCUUCCACUAGCUUUAGCUAGUCUGUGUUCAGAAACAAGUCUCUUCUCAUAUCCACCUUGAUGUUUUGUUUCUUUCCUGUCUUUUUAAUGAUCUUUUGAUUUCUUCAUGUAUAAUGCCCUGAUGUCAUCCUUCAGCUCAUCUGGAUUUUGGUCAUUAGUAUUCGACAUGUUGAAUUUAUUCUUGAGAUAGUCUCUAAAUUCAGGUGGAAUAUACUCAAGGUCGUACUUUGACUCUCGUGGACUCACUUUAAUUUUCUUAAGCUUCAACUUGAACUUGCAUGUGAGCAACUGAUAGUCUAUUCCACAGUCGGCCCCUGGCCUUGUUCUAUUUGAUGACAUUGAGCUUCUCCAUCAUCUCUUUCCACAAAUGUAGUUGAUUUAAUUCCUGUGUAGGCCAUUAGACAAGUUCCACAUGUAUAGUUGCCAUUUAUGUUGUUGAAAAAAGAUAUUUCCAAUGAAUAAAUCAUUGGUCUUGCAAAAUUUUAUCAUGCGAUCUUUGGCAUCAUUUCUAUCACCAACGCCAUAUUUUCCUAUUAUUGAGCUUUCUUCUUUGUUUCCAAUUUUUGCAUUCAAAUAACCAGUAAUUAUCAGUGCACCUUGCUUGCACGUUUGAUCAAUUUCACACUGCAAAAAUUGGUAAAAAUCUUCAAUUCAUCUUUGCCAUUAGUAGUUGGUGCAUAAAUUUGAAUAAAAGUCACGUUUACCAGUCUUCCUUGUAGGCAUUUAGAUAUUAUGUAAUCACUGACAGCCUUGUAUUUCAGGAUAGAUCUUGAAAUGUUCUUUUUGACAAUGGAUUCAACGCUAUUCCUUUCAAUUUGUUAUUCCCAGCACAGUAGACCAUAUAAUUUUCCAAUUCAAAAUGGCCAGUACCAGUGCAUUUCAGCUCUCUAAUGCCUAUCUUUAAGAGUUCUAUUUCAUUUUUGACAACUUUCAAUAUUCCUAGAUUCAUACCUUCCAUGUUCUAACUUUUAGUGGGUGUUUGCAGCUAUUUCUUCUCAUUUUGAGUCAUGCUACAUCAGCAAAUGAAGGUUCCAAAACCUUACUCCAUUCACAUCAUUAAGGUUGGCUUUCCUUUGAGGAGUCAGCUCUUUCUCAGUCGUAUUUUGAGUGCCUUCCAACCUCAGGGGCUCACCUCCGGCACUAUAUCAGACAAUCUUUCACUGCUGUCCAUGAGGUUAUCAAUGUCCAGUUGUUUCAGAAGUAGACCUCCAGGUCCUUCAUCCUAGUCUGUCUUAGUCCGGAAGUUCCACUGAAAAUUGUCCACCAUGGGUGAACCUCCUGGUAUUUGAGAUACUAGUAGCAUAGCUUCCAGCAUCAUAGCAACACACAAGCCACCACAGUAUGACAAAUUGACAGACAAGUUGUGGUGAUCAGCUCUGCUAUUAACAAAUUCUCCCCAAGUUUGGUUAUCUGGAAAUGUAUUAAUUUCUCUGUCCUUUUUUGAAAGACAGUUUUUCUGGAUAUAAACUUCUUGAUUGACAGACUUUUUCUUUCAGCACUUUGAAUAUGUCACCCCACUAUCCUCUAACCUCUAUGGUUUCUGAAGAGGAUCUUUUGUAUUUUAUUAGUUGCUUCUCUCUGUCUGUUUUCAAGAUUCUCCCUUUUUCUUUGGCUUCUUACAGUUUGUUUGUAAUGUAUCUUAGUGUGGAUCUUUUUGCACUUGUCUUAAUUACAGUUCAUUGAGCUUCAUGGAUGUGUAUAUUAAUGUUUUUCAUCAAAUUUGGUAAGGUUAGGCCAUUAUUUCUUCAGAUUUUAUAUCUAUUUCUUCUCCUGUUUGGCAAUCCUCAGUUUUUGUGUGUUCACACACUUGUGUCAACUGAGGUGAUGUUCCUUUUUUUCUCUCUCUGUUUCUCAGACUGGAUAAUCUUGAUUGACCUAUCUUCAAAUUCACUGACUCUUUCUUAUGUGAGCUCAAAUCUGCUUUUGAACCUUUUUAGUGAACUUUUUAUUUCAGUUAUUAUAUUUCUCAACUCCACAAUGUCUGAUUUUAUGAUUUCAAUCUCUAUUGAUAUUCUCUAAUUGAUAGGACAUUGUUGUCAACUUUUUCUUUAAUUUCUUAGUUAUUUGGACAUAUUUGUAAUAACUGAUUUAAAGUCUAUGUCUACUAACUCCAUCAUCAGGGCCUUUAGGGAUAUUUUUCUUCACUGCCUUUUUUCCUAUGUGUGUGGCAUAUCUCAUUUUUCUUUGCACAUCUCACAAUUUUUCUUGAAAACUGGACAUUUUAAAUAAUAUAUUGUAACAACUAUGGUAUCAACUUCUGCUCCC
Loxodonta africana (African savanna elephant) is the source of this 24198-nucleotide long non-coding RNA. RefSeq lists it as uncharacterized. The record is from RefSeq and is a predicted model, not a curated record. The transcript has 6 exons. Lineage: Eukaryota; Metazoa; Chordata; Mammalia; Proboscidea; Elephantidae.